This 289-nucleotide ribosomal RNA is filed under the name uncultured Arthrobacter sp. RNAcentral's name for it is "partial 16S ribosomal RNA". It matches the Rfam family "Bacterial small subunit ribosomal RNA", at positions 214 to 511 of the family's 1533-position model. The record is from RNAcentral. Lineage: Bacteria; Bacillati; Actinomycetota; Actinomycetes; Micrococcales; Micrococcaceae.
AUCGCUGAUGGAUGAGCCCGCGCCAGAUUAGGUAGUUGGGUUGAGGUAAUGGCCGUCACCAAGCUGACGAUCUGUAGCUGGUCUGAGAGGAUGAUCAGCCACACUGGGACUGAGACACGGCCCAGACUCCUACGGGAGGCAGCAGUGGGGAAGUAUUGGACAAUGGGCGAAAGCCUGAUCCAGCAAUACCGAGUGAGUGAUGAAGGCCUUAGGGUUGUAAAGACUCUUUUAGUCAGGGAAGAUAAUGACGUUACCUGCAGAAAAAGACCCCGGCCUAACUCCGUGCCAG